CCUACGGGUGGCAGCAGUGGGGAAUAUUGCACAAUGGGCGAAACCCUGAUGCAGCGACGCCGCGUGAGUGAAGAAGUAUUUCGGUUUGUAAAGCUCUAUUAGCAGGGAAGAACAUACCGGUACCUGACUAUGAACCUCCGGCUAACUACGUGCCAGAAGCCGCGGUAAUACGGAGGGGGAAAGCGUUAUCUGGAGUUACUGGGUGUAAAGGGAGCGUGGACGGGAGUACAAGUCUGAAGUGAAAUGCCGGGGCUUAACCCCGGAACUGCAUUGGAAACUGUGCAGCUAGAGUGCAGGAGAGGUAAGUGGAAUUCCUUGUGUAGCGGUGAAAUGCGUAGAGAUUAGGAGGAACACCAGUGGCGAAGGCGGCUUACUGGACUGUAACUGACGUUGAGGCGCGAAAGCGUGGGGAGCAAACAGGAUUAGAUACCCUAGUAGUC
Molecule: ribosomal RNA, 440 nt
Filed under: uncultured bacterium
Lineage: Bacteria
Description: partial 16S ribosomal RNA
Rfam family: Bacterial small subunit ribosomal RNA
Source: RNAcentral